UAAUCUUAUCUGGUAAAGCGAAUGAUUAGAGGCAUUAGGGCCGAAACGACCUUAACCUAUUCUCAAACUUUAAAUGGGUAAGUACCUCACCUUUCUUGAUAUGAAGGUUGAGGUUGUGAUAUAUUGUGCCCAGUGGGCCACUUUUGGUAAGCAGAACUGGCGCUGUGGGAUGAACCAAACGUAAUGUUACGGUGCCCAAAUUAACAACUCAUACUGAUACCAUGAAAGGCGUUGCUUGCUUAAAACAGCAGGACGGUGGACAUGGAAGUCGUAAUCCGCUAAGGAGUGUGUAACAACUCACCUGCCGAAGCAACUAGCCCUUAAAAUGGAUGGCGCUCAAGUUGUAUACCUAUACAUUACCGCUAAAGCAUAUGAUUUAUAAAUUUUUUUAAAAUUUAUAAAUUUUGAAGCUUUAUUGAGUAGGAGGGUACAAUGGUGUGCGUAAAAUUGUUUGGCGUAAGCAGCCUGCAUGGAGCCGCCAUUGGCACAGAUCUUGGUGGUAGUAGCAAAUAAUCGAAUGAGAUCUUGGAGGACUGAAGUGGAGAAGGGUUUCGUGUGAACAGUGGUUGAUCACGAGUUAGUCGGUCCUAAGUUCAAGGCGAAAGCCGAAAAUUUUUAAGUUUUAUUAUAAAUUUAAAAUUUAUUAUAUUACUUUAAAAAUUUUUGAACGAAAGGGAAUACGGUUCCAAUUCCGUAACCUGUUAAGUAUACGUUUGUUAUUAAAUGUGGGCUUUUAUGCUCAUCCUGGUAACAGAAACAACCAUAAAGAAGCCGUCGAGAGAUAUCGAAAGAGUUUUCUUUUCUGUUUUAUAGUCGUACUACCAUGGAAAUCUUUCGAAGAGAGAUAUGGUAGAUGGACUAGAAGAGCAUGGCAUUUACUGCUGUGUCGAUAUUUUCUCCUCGGACCUUGAAAAUUUAUGGUGGGGUCACGCAAACUUCUUAACAGGCCGUACCGAUAUCCGCAGCUGGUCUCCAAGGUGAAGAGUCUCUAGUCGAUAGAAUAAUGUAGGUAAGGGAAGUCGGCAAAUUAGAUCCGUAACUUCGGAAUAAGGAUUGGCUCUGAAGAUUGAGAUAGUCGGGCUUGAUUGGGAAACAAUAAUAUGGUUUAUGUACUCGUUCUGGAUAAAUUAGGAUUUAUGCAAUUUUUAUUAUAAAAAUUGUAUUUAUCUGUUCCCCGGAUAGAUGUUUACAUAGCCAAUUGUGGAACUUUCUUGCUAAUAAUUUAUAAAAAGGUUUUUUUUUUUAUAAUUAAAAAUUUUUAUUUUUAUAAAUUUAUAACGGCUAUCAAUUAACAAUCAAUUCAGAACUGGCACGGACUUGGGGAAUCCGACUGUCUAAUUAAAACAAAGCAUUGUGAUGGCCCUAACGGGUGUUGACACAAUGUGAUUUCUGCCCAGUGCUUUGAAUGUCAAAGUGAAGAAAUUCAAGUAAGCGCAGGUAAACGGCGGGAGUAACUAUGACUCUCUUAAGGUAGCCAAAUGCCUCGUCAUCUAAUUAGUGACGCGCAUGAAUGGAUUAACGAGAUCCUACUGUCCCUAUCUACUAUCCAGCGAAACCACAGCCAAGGGAACGGGCUUGGAAUAAUUAGCGGGGAAAGAAGACCCUGUUGAGC
RNAcentral lists this ribosomal RNA (1612 nucleotides) under Alloxytropus sp. MEI050694. Its description in RNAcentral is "eukaryotic LSU rRNA". It matches the Rfam family "Eukaryotic large subunit ribosomal RNA", at positions 996 to 2421 of the family's 3401-position model. The record is from RNAcentral. Lineage: Eukaryota; Metazoa; Arthropoda; Insecta; Diptera; Scenopinidae.